RNAcentral lists this ribosomal RNA (427 nucleotides) under Detonula confervacea. RNAcentral's name for it is "partial Bacterial small subunit ribosomal RNA". It matches the Rfam family "Bacterial small subunit ribosomal RNA", at positions 500 to 925 of the family's 1533-position model. The record is from RNAcentral. Lineage: Eukaryota; Bacillariophyta; Thalassiosirophyceae; Thalassiosirales; Thalassiosiraceae.
ACUCCGUGCCAGCAGCCGCGGUAAUACGGAGGGUCCAAGCGUUAUCCGGAAUCAUUGGGUUUAAAGGGUCCGUAGGCGGGAUAAUAAGUCAGUGGUGAAAGUCUGCAGCUCAACUGUAGAAUUGCCAUUGAUACUGUUGUUCUUGAAUUAUUAUGAAGUGGUUGGAAUGAGUAGUGUAGCGGUGAAAUGCAUAGAUAUUACUCAGAACACCUAUUGCGAAGGCAGAUCACUAAUAAUAUAUUGACGCUGAGGGACGAAAGCGUAGGUAGCGAACAGGAUUAGAUACCCUGGUAGUCUACGCCGUAAACGAUGGUUACUAGCUGUUCGGCUCGAUUGAGAGCUGAGUGGUUAAGCGAAAGUGAUAAGUAACCCACCUGGGGAGUACGUUCGCAAGAAUGAAACUCAAAGGAAUUGACGGGGACCCGCA